UCAAAGGCUAUGCCGUCUAGCGUCAGGAAAAAGAAACGUUUAUCAAUAAUAAUAUGAAAAAAAUGUCCGCUCUAGCUUGUUGACACACUUAAUUGAAAUAAGUCAAUAACUAACAAUAAAAGGCAAUUUGAUACUCACGUAAUAUUCUUCCCUCCAAAUUUGUAUCAAGUCUUCACCAAAAAGCCACCACCGCAGAAUCACACAUCACAACUGACGAAAUCCCAAGAUUGUUGACGAAAUAUCGUCUUCUGCUACCUCUAGGUUCCGAUGACCAUUGAUAAUUGGAGAGCAGCAUAGGAACGGAACAACUUUGUCUGGGCCAAAUGCCCUACUUAAUAGAAUCCUCUGGGGAAACUUUGUUUUGAUUUAGGCUGAAGUUUUUGUGUGACCUAGGUGUUUAGAUGAAAUGAUCCACCAAUAAUGCAAGCUAUGUCUUCUAAAGCUAAAUAGUUUCUAUUGUCAUUUAAUGUUUAUAAUAAUAUUUCAGGUUAACUUCCCCUGUCAAAUUGUAGUAAAUCUCCAAGAUGCCUUCCUCAGAUCCAAUUCUUUGCUGCCAUCUCUUCUGCAGACAUUAGCAAAAUCAUGCUGCCACUCAAGAGGUUGUGGUGAGUAGUGACCUCCACUU
Long non-coding RNA from Daphnia pulex (common water flea), 625 nucleotides. RefSeq lists it as uncharacterized. Lineage: Eukaryota; Metazoa; Arthropoda; Branchiopoda; Diplostraca; Daphniidae. The record is from RefSeq and is a predicted model, not a curated record. The transcript has 3 exons.